AAUGCUUGACUUUAUUAGGAUGUGUUUCAAAUAUUCCAUAGCAGAGCCCAGAUGAUUAACCAUGCACAGUACACGCCAUGAUAUGGCGGGCAGGUAUAGAUUUGAUGUUAGAAAUGUCUUCUAAAUUCUGUGAAAAUAUUUUCAUGUUUCAGAUAAACGCAGAGUUUAAGAGCAUCCCAGCCAUGCCUCUACAAUCAAAGUGUUUGCAAAGCGGCCGGGGAGCAGGGAAAAAAGCUGAAAGUCAUAUCUGCCAUGAUGACAGAUGACAUUGAUGCCAGAAGGGAGUCCCACAUUAAAGGACUGCAUCUAUCUGAAUGAGAAUCCCAACGUCUUGGAGCGGGAGUACACGGACAUGACUGAGGCCACUGCGCUGAGUGCCAUCAUGAAAACGACAGUGGGAAUUUACGUCACCAAACAGACGCCAGGCAAUGACUUUUCUGAUGUUGGCAUCAUCAUCGAGGGUGUGGUGGUUCUUCAAGAUUUGGACAGCAUGGCCCAUCAACAGCCUUGCUGUUUGGACUUUGUUACUCUUUGAAGAUGAGGUAUCCGUUACAGCUCCGCUACACUUUUGAAGGGAUUCAAAAGGUUUUAAUGGAGUUGGAUGUGACUUAA
This is a long non-coding RNA of Etheostoma spectabile (orangethroat darter), 612 nucleotides long. RefSeq lists it as uncharacterized. The transcript is spliced from 3 exons. NCBI's taxonomy places the organism in Eukaryota, Metazoa, Chordata, Actinopteri, Perciformes, Percidae. The record is from RefSeq and is a predicted model, not a curated record.